ACAGGAUUAGAUACCCUGGUAGUCACGCCGUAAACGAUGAAUACUAGGUGUAGGGGUUGUCAUGACCUCUGUGCCGCCGCUAACGCAUUAAGUAUUCCGCCUGGGGAGUACGGUCGCAAGAUUAAAACUCAAAGGAAUUGACGGGGGCCCGCACAAGCAGCGGAGCAUGUGGUUUAAUUCGAAGCAACGCGAAGAACCUUACCUAGACUUGACAUCUCCUGAAUUACCUUUAAUCGGGGAAGUCCCUUCGGGGACAGGAAGACAGGUGGUGCAUGGUUGUCGUCAGCUCGUGUCGUGAGAUGUUGGGUUAAGUCCCGCAACGAGCGCAACCCUUAUUGUUAGUUGCUACCAUUUAGUUGAGCACUCUAGCGAGACUGCCCGGGUUAACCGGGAGGAAGGUGGGGAUGACGUCAAAUCAUCAUGCCCCUUAUGUCUAGGGCUACACACGUGCUACAAUGGCCGGUACAAAGAGAUGCUAAACCGUGAGGUGGAGCUAAACUAUAAAACCGGUCUCAGUUCGGAUUGUAGGCUGAAACUCGCCUACAUGAAGCUGGAGUUGCUAGUAAUCGCGAAUCAGAAUGUCGCGGUGAAUACGUUCCCGGGCCUUGUACACACCGCCCGUCACACCAUGAGAGUUGGCAAUACCCAAAGUUCGUGAGCUAACGCGUAAGCGAGGCAGCGACCUAAGGUAGGGUCAGCGAUUGGGGUGAAGUCGUAACAAGGUAACCAAGGGC
RNAcentral lists this ribosomal RNA (734 nucleotides) under uncultured bacterium. RNAcentral describes it as "bacterial SSU rRNA". It matches the Rfam family "Bacterial small subunit ribosomal RNA", at positions 772 to 1507 of the family's 1533-position model. The record is from RNAcentral.